RNAcentral lists this transfer RNA (73 nucleotides) under Salmo salar (Atlantic salmon). It matches the Rfam family "tRNA". Rfam says of the family: Transfer RNA (tRNA) molecules are approximately 80 nucleotides in length. Their secondary structure includes four short double-helical elements and three loops (D, anti-codon, and T loops). Lineage: Eukaryota; Metazoa; Chordata; Actinopteri; Salmoniformes; Salmonidae. The record is from Rfam by way of RNAcentral.
GUCAUUUAGGCUUAGUUGGUAGAGCAUGGUGUUUGCAACGCCAGGGUUGUGGGUUUGAUUCCCACGGGGGACC